RNAcentral lists this transfer RNA (71 nucleotides) under Loxodonta africana (African savanna elephant). It matches the Rfam family "tRNA". From Rfam's summary of the family: Transfer RNA (tRNA) molecules are approximately 80 nucleotides in length. Their secondary structure includes four short double-helical elements and three loops (D, anti-codon, and T loops). Further hydrogen bonds mediate the characteristic L-shaped molecular structure. tRNAs have two regions of fundamental functional importance: the anti-codon, which is responsible for specific mRNA codon recognition, and the 3' end, to which the tRNAs corresponding amino acid is attached (by aminoacyl-tRNA synthetases). tRNAs cope with the degeneracy of the genetic code in two manners: having more than one tRNA (with a specific anti-codon) for a particular amino acid; and 'wobble' base-pairing, i.e. permitting non-standard base-pairing at the 3rd anti-codon position. Lineage: Eukaryota; Metazoa; Chordata; Mammalia; Proboscidea; Elephantidae. The record is from Rfam by way of RNAcentral.
GUAGUGGUGGUUCAGUGGCAGAAUUCUCACCUUUCUUGUGGGAGACCCCGGUUCGAUUCCUGGCCAGUGUA